AGUUAAACAUCUGUGUGGCUAUAAAUGAGCAUGUUGUGCUGCGGUGAUGAAUCUUGGAACUCUCUCUUACUGAAUCAGCGUUUUGAAGAAGCUUCUUUACCAGAUUCUGAGCAGCAUGAACGCUCCAACCUAAUUGUGCUGUAAUGGCUCUUAAAACACUUUUAUAAGACAAUGACUGUGGUUUAAAGUUAAGGGCAGUGAUUGAAUUGACAAAUCUCUAGUUCUAAUUUCUUGAGGGUUCAAAUACAGAUCUCAUUAACCAAGAUAUUUUUUUUUUUUUCUGUGUAGGUCCUCUGAUGUGAACCCCGCAGUGUUCAGAGUGGCUUAAAUUCAGAGGCUAAAGUUGGAGUUGUUUCAGAAGGAAGUGAUGCCAAAUCCGCAUGGUCUUCCACCAAAUGCUUGGGGAGGAAGGAAGUCGAGAAAGUUUCAAGGUGACUUGAUGACUGCUUCAGCAGCUCAUGGAGGCUUUCCGGUUUGAAGGUAGCUGAAGUUUGGACUCCAGAUGCUGCCAUCACCAUCCCAGCUGUUUGUCCAGGUGGGUGAACUCUGUAGCUUCGUUUUAGUGCUCAUCUAGACUUCUUUAUGUAGG
Molecule: long non-coding RNA, 589 nt
Organism: Haplochromis burtoni (Burton's mouthbrooder)
Lineage: Eukaryota; Metazoa; Chordata; Actinopteri; Cichliformes; Cichlidae
Exons: 5
Source: RefSeq, a predicted model, not a curated record